Nicotiana tabacum (common tobacco) is the source of this 2483-nucleotide non-coding RNA. Lineage: Eukaryota; Viridiplantae; Streptophyta; Magnoliopsida; Solanales; Solanaceae. The record is from RefSeq and is a predicted model, not a curated record.
CUUUGUAGCAGUAAAUCCCCUGAUUUGUGAUGAAUUAAGUCUUUUAUUUAUCUUUUGGGUCAAUUUUUGUUGUACCCAAAAUAUGCAUCUAAAAAGCUGAGCAACUCAUUCCCGACAGUUGCGUCUAUGAGUUGAUUAAUGUGUGCUAGUAGGAAAGAGUUUUGGGCAUCGUUUUUCAAGUCUAUAUAAUAAACAUGCAUUCUCCAUUUGCCCCAUUCUUUUUUUUGAAACUACCACAUGUUUGCUAACCAGUUCGGAUGCUUGACCUCUCUGGUUGAUCCAAUCUCCAAUAUCUUGGAUAUCUCUUCUUCUAUAGUCUUAUUUUGCGUAGAUCGAAUCUUCCUUUUUUUAUUGCUUGAUCGGUAAAUGAUGCUGGUCAAUGUUGAUUCUUGCGGAACUUAUCAUAUAAACAUGGGACCAAGCAAAUAAAUUGGCGUUAGCUUAUAAAAAUUCAAUUAACUUACCUCUCAGUCUGGGGUUGAGUCCCAAACCCAUGUAGAGUUUUUUUCUCGAAAUAUCGAUAAAGAGGAUGAUUGCCUCUAACUAUUCUGUUGUUGAGUUAGUAGCAUCUGGUUCUUCAGGGUCGCUAAUUGCAUCUAAAUUCUUGGAGUCUUCCUAUUUCGUGUUAUUUAAAUUUUCAUCAAUUGAGGGGUAUGGGUUUUUGAUGAACCCUAUUUCUUUGAUUGCUAUUCAUCGCUUCCAUCUUUGGCCAGGAUGUUUGCUAAAGCCACUGAGUUACUUUCCCAGGACUCACAGGUGCAUGAUGUUUAUGGAGAUACAUGGAUCAACCAAAACACAUUUAAUAUCAAUAUCAAUAUCUGAGACUCAUAAAGUGAUUACAAAUGGGUCGUGAUAUGGGAAAAUCAAUUCAUCGGCGUCUUCAUCAUUAAAGGUUAUGCCAUCUCCAAUUAAUGUUUUCCUACGCCUUUUUCAUGAGUAAUUUAGACCUUGACAUACUUCUUUAUAGUUGUGUAUGUGAUAUUGCUGACCUCUUCUCCUCCGAAGAUAACAUUCAAUGUGCUCCUUUGCGAUAGUGCUCAGGGAGGUUCUUUGUUACUUAUGUUCUUCAUAUAGUGCUUUUUUUUUUUCGCUAAGUAAUUUCUUAAGAUAUCCUUUCUUAAGUAGAUAAUCUAACUCAUUUUGUAGAAACUUGUAAUCUACGGUCAUGUGCCCAUGAUUUUGUGAAUUCACACCACAACUCUUUUCUCAUUUCCUUAUACCAUCUCACAUCUUCUCCCAUAUCUCUUAAUAAGGACACCAACUCGGAAAUACUAACAUUGAAGUUGUAAUCCUCAAGCUUUGGCACCUCAGAUUCCUUGCCAGCCUGAGAAGACAGUGUUGUUCUUUUGGUUGGUAUGUCUUCUGUCCCUUUUUGGUUUUGUUCUUUUAUCAGAAUCUCGUCUAGAAGAUGCAGCUCCUCAAAUUUCUGCGUUUGUGCUCUGAUUGUCUUGAUGUGCUGUCCCGAUGAUCAGUGUAUCUGCUUCUUGACUUGCUGUCAGCACCGAUAUGAACUACCAUCUCCUCAUUUAUUUGUGUUUUGGUGCUAUACCAGUUAUACACGUCGAUCUAGGUUGUUGGUAAAAGUUUUCGUAGACUUUCCUUCAAUCUUACAAAGGUUAUUGCAGCCUAAUUGUCCAGAACAUGAGGCAACAACAUUCUUUCUCUCUGAAAUUGGUCCACAAAUUUUCGGAGUAAUUUCAUGCUCCCACGUUGAAUCUUCAAAAUAUUCCUUCAUCUGCUUCUUAACUUUCUAAGCUUUGGUGUGUGCCUUAAGAAAAGCAUCUGCAAGCUCAGCAAAUAAAAUAAUUGAAUUUUCAGACAAAAAGGAAUACAAGGUUAAUGCACCUUUUGUGAACGUUUCUCCAAACUUCUUUACGGGUACUGAUUUGAUAUCUUGCUUUGUUAGGUAAUUUCUGUUAACUUUAGUUAUAUAAGGUAUGACAUGAUCCUGGGGAUCAAAUGUUCUAUCAUACCUUAGAAUAUCCGACAUUUGAACUUCUUCGGUAUUGGCAACAGAGUAGCACUCUACUUUCAGGACUAUUGAGAGUACGUAUCCAUGUCUAUCCCGUUGAUAACAGGUGGAACUCCCAAGUUGUACCUGAACCUUCAGCACCGAUAGCGUUUGGGAGUCCCUCGGUACUAGAACUUCUAGGUGCAUUAGGUAACUCCGACUAGUUUCAUUCUUGGUGAUGUCGGUGACCUAAUACUUGCAUUUGUACUUAGGCCAUAAUAUCCUUAUUAUCUGCUGAUUCUAGUCUCUUUGUUGCCAGUUCCAUCUGAGAUUCGGAUGCUUCACUAGUUAUAAUUUUUCGACGUGAUGGUUCUCUAAAACGAUUCGAUGGUGAAUUCCUCGGAGUUUAACACGGGCUUAAUUGUGAUAACUGUAUUCUAUUUUUUUCAGUUUGUUCAACAGUGCCAUGUUGAUUUUCAAUUGAUGUAAUUGGUAGAUCUCCAGCAAUGAUAAUUUGCUAAGACUGAUAAGA